UCUUGUCUCGGAGACAUUAACAGAAUAACAUCAAGCAAUCCCAAAUCCUGGGAAGGCGUGGGGUAGCCGCCUAGUGAAUUCAGCCCCCGGGUCCGGGAGGGGGAGGGGGCGGGGGGUCUACAGUCGUGGCGACGGGAAGCACGACCGGCGGCGCCGGCGGCAAAGACAGCCCGUCGCCUAGGCGGCCUCCGCCCCCCUACUGCCAAACGGCGAUUUCCAAUCCACACUCUCUGCGUACACGACCCUGUUGCUUCCCCGGGAGCCAUCGCGUCCCCGGGGGAGGUCCACGAGCAAACUAUGCGGCCCAACCCACCCGCGGCCCCUCCGUCUGACGGCCAUCUGGCCAAGGAAGAAGGAACGAGCGAGCACAGCGAAUAAAUGUAGGAAAAGAAUAAAAACUUUCAACAACGGAUCUCUUGGUUCCCGCAUCGAUGAAGAACGCAGCGAAAUGCGAUAAGUAAUGUGAAUUGCAGAAUUCAGUGAAUCAUCGAAUCUUUGAACGCACAUUGCGCCCCCCGGCAUUCCGGGGGGCAUGCCUGUCCGAGCGUCUCUUGGAAGAAAACUCGCGCCGGUGAGGGGCGCGGUCGUGGCGGCGGUGGCGAGCCCAGGGAGGCGGGCACCGCGCUGGAAUCCAUGGGCGUCUGCCUGCCGCGUGGCGGAGCGUGAUGAGACACGUCGCUCGCUCGCGGCGAGGCAGCCAGCCCCAGGCCCGCCCGUCGGGCUGGGUACGAGCACCUUAACCCCAAACUCCUCGGAUCAGGUAGGGAUACCCGCUGAACUUAACAUAAAAAAGGG
Molecule: ribosomal RNA, 795 nt
Filed under: Helvella atroides
Lineage: Eukaryota; Fungi; Ascomycota; Pezizomycetes; Pezizales; Helvellaceae
Description: eukaryotic LSU rRNA
Rfam family: 5.8S ribosomal RNA (bases 397-550)
Source: RNAcentral